Molecule: ribosomal RNA, 517 nt
Filed under: uncultured bacterium
Lineage: Bacteria
Description: bacterial SSU rRNA
Rfam family: Bacterial small subunit ribosomal RNA
Source: RNAcentral
AGGGUUUGAUCCUGGCUCAGAUUGAACGCUGGCGGCAGGCCUAACACAUGCAAGUCGAGCGGAAACGACACUAACAAUCCUUCGGGUGCGUUAAUGGGCGUCGAGCGGCGGACGGGUGAGUAAUGCCUAGGAAAUUGCCUUAAUGUGGGGGAUAACCAUUGGAAACGAUGGCUAAUACCGCAUAAUGCCUACGGGCCAAAGAGGGGGACCUUCGGGCCUCUCGCGUCAAGAUAUGCCUAGGUGGGAUUAGCUAGUUGGUGAGGUAAUGGCUCACCAAGGCGACGAUCCCUAGCUGGUCUGAGAGGAUGAUCAGCCACACUGGAACUGAGACACGGUCCAGACUCCUACGGGAGGCAGCAGUGGGGAAUAUUGCACAAUGGGCGAAAGCCUGAUGCAGCCAUGCCGCGUGUAUGAAGAAGGCCUUCGGGUUGUAAAGUACUUUCAGUUGUGAGGAAGGGUGUGUAGUUAAUAGCUGCGCAUCUUGACGUUAGCAACAGAAGAAGCACCGGCUAACUCC